AACGGAAACGAUGGGAGCUUGCUCCCAGGCGUCGAGUGGCGGACGGGUGAGUAAUGCUUAGGAAUCUGCCCAUUAGUGGGGGACAACUCGGGGAAACUCGAGCUAAUACCGCAUACGCCCUACGGGGGAAAGCGGAGGACCUUUCGGGGCUUCGCGCUAAUGGAUGAGCCUAAGUCGGAUUAGCUUGUUGGUGAGGUAAAGGCUCACCAAGGCGACGAUCCGUAGCUGGUCUGAGAGGACGAUCAGCCACACUGGGACUGAGACACGGCCCAGACUCC
RNAcentral lists this ribosomal RNA (278 nucleotides) under uncultured bacterium. Its description in RNAcentral is "partial 16S ribosomal RNA". It matches the Rfam family "Bacterial small subunit ribosomal RNA", at positions 65 to 339 of the family's 1533-position model. The record is from RNAcentral.